AGAGUUUGAUCAUGGCUCAGGAUGAACGCUGGCGGCAUGCCUAAUACAUGCGAGUCGAACGAGAGGAAGGAAAGCUUGCUUUCCUGAAUCUAGUGGCGAACGGGUGAGUAACACGUAGGUAACCUGCCCAUGUGCCCGGGAUAACUUCUGGAAACGGAUGCUAAAACCGGAUAGGUAGCAGACAAGCAUUUGACUGCUAUUAAAGUGGCCUUGGCCAUGAACAUGGAUGGACCUGCGGUGCAUUAGCUGGUUGGUGAGGUAACGGCCCACCAAGGCGACGAUGCAUAGCCGGCCUGAGAGGGCGGACGGCCACAUUGGGACUGAGACACGGCCCAAACUCCUACGGGAGGCAGCAGUAGGGAAUUUUCGUCAAUGGGGGGAACCCUGAACGAGCAAUGCCGCGUGAGUGAGGAAGGUCUUCGGAUCGUAAAGCUCUGUUGUAAGAGAAAAACGGCACUCAUAGGGAAUGAUGAGUGAGUGAUGGUAUCUUACCAGAAAGUCACGGCUAACUACGUGCCAGCAGCCGCGGUAAUACGUAGGUGGCGAGCGUUAUCCGGAAUGAUUGGGCGUAAAGGGUGCGUAGGUGGCAGAUCAAGUCUGGAGUAAAAGGUAUGGGCUCAACCCGUACUGGCUCUGGAAACUGAUCCGCUAGAGAACAGAAGAGGACGGCGGAACUCCAUGUGUAGCGGUAAAAUGCGUAGAUAUAUGGAAGAACACCGGUGGCGAAGGCGGCCGUCUGGUCUGGAUUCUGACACUGAAGCACGAAAGCGUGGGGAGCAAAUAGGAUUAGAUACCCUAGUAGUCCACGCCGUAAACGAUGAGAACUAGGUGUUGGGGGAAUACUCA
Molecule: ribosomal RNA, 846 nt
Filed under: uncultured bacterium
Lineage: Bacteria
Description: bacterial SSU rRNA
Rfam family: Bacterial small subunit ribosomal RNA
Source: RNAcentral